Molecule: long non-coding RNA, 9831 nt
Filed under: Linum usitatissimum (flax)
Lineage: Eukaryota; Viridiplantae; Streptophyta; Magnoliopsida; Malpighiales; Linaceae
Description: long non-coding RNA (LUSI_LNC005293)
Source: RNAcentral
UCUAUUCAAAUAACACAAAAUUUAAUACAUAAGUUUUGAAACCUACAACAAACUCUUCUGGGGGAUGUUCGCAUGGCUCCCAUCUUCUCUUUCAUAACACUUGAGGAAUACUUCAGUGCUUCCUACUGGACCUCCUUUCUCUUGUUUCUAUACAACAUGUCAAAUCAUGUAAGUUCAUGUAGAAUCAUGCUACUCUAUACUUUAUACUACAAGUUCAUGUAUGUUGAUACUUACCAACUAUUCAUGAACUCUGUUGAAAGGCUUUGAUCCUUUUGUAUGAUAGAUGUAUUGAUUAGCCCGGUUUGCUUUGCUUCUCUAUGAGGCUUCCUACAUUCAUUAAAAGACAUAAACUAGGUUUCAAGCCAUAGAAAUUAAAAACAUGCUGCUUAGUUAGCUUACUGAAUACUCCUUAGAACACUUAUAUCGACAUAACAUAUCCUAAUCACGUGCAUCUAUCAAAGGUGGUCUCUUUGAGAUGUUGAACUCAACAUUUUGAGUUUCAUCAUAGUUUGCCUUCCUCCACAGCCAUCCUCUUUGCUCCCUCCACUUAAUUCCCAAAUUCUCCAUUAUGAACUUCUCCAUCUGCUCAUCAUCUUCCAUUUUCCAAAUAAACUUUUCCUGCGAUUAGAGUAACACUGUUAUAGUAACAUAUUGAACACACGAAUUAGAUAAAAGUUAGAAGUUUAUAAAUUUCAACCUUGAUGAAGGCAUUCCAAAUAUGUUACUUAUCAUUUUCUGGGACUUUUUAACCUAUCAUCAACUCCAAUGGAAAAUAUGUUGGGUUGCACCCUCUUUUUUUCCAGGAACACCAGUGACUUUAUGCAAACAACCACAAUGAAACAAUCAGUCUCAGCUACAUUAGACCAAUCUAUUACCUUUACCUUCUAUACCCACCUGUUAGUCCCAGUGUAAUCGAACCAAUCAUACAAUUAUGUACUAGGCACAAUAUGAGCAGCAAAGUACUAUACUAACCUGAAAUGCAAACAAAGACUUACCGACCAUAUGUAGAUUAUACCAUUCUUUCUUCACCUUCUUAGGACGAUGAUUUUCAUCACCGUCCUCGCCACCAACAGAACCAUCUAUCACAUUUGCCAUCACUAUUCAACAUAUAUAUACUAGAAACAUUAACCAUUUAACCCGAGAAUGAAUACAAAUAGUUUAGACAAUCAUCUAUUACAUACUUAAGAAAAUCAUCUACUAAAUACAUAACAUUAUUACUCAUCAAACUCUACUUCUAAUCCUAAUCUAACAAGUGUUAAGUUGUGUCUGUCCUCGACCAUAGGAAGUCUUGCCUUUGAAGUGAAUCAUACACAUAGUUCAGUCCGUCGUGCAUGUCGUACAAGUCCCUUGGUUUAAUGUGUAUUGGAAUACACCAUCCCCUUUCCUUCAAAUCAUCAACAUAAUACACCAUUCGGGCAAGACUUGCUAAGAUAUAAGGUUCAUAGCUUGCUUGUGUGCUAGUGUGUAUUGGAUGAUCAAAAUUUACACCUUUGAAUCCCAACUCCUCUACCUUGUAGCCCUACUAGUAAUUGUAUUGGCCCACCUAUACUUGAACAGAACAGCUUGUCAUCCACAAUAGUUCAAGGCAAUGACUUCUUCCAACUUUUCAUAGUAUGGAACAGAGCCCUCAACUGGUCGAGUGUCUGGAAAGCUUCCAUAACUUUAAGUGUCCAAGUUUGCAAAGACACCACUAUUUUGUGUUCUUUACAUCCUUUCUCGUUCGAUGGUGCGAAAUCUGUAUUCAUUCACAUUGUAUGAUGUAUAACGUCUGACACCAAUAAGUGGCCCUCUAGCUAACAACUUCAUAUCAGUGGAGUGGGACACUAGUUCAUCGUUUAGAAUUUAAAAAAACAUUUGCAUUAGAUUGUUAGACUAUUAAUACCGUCAAUCAAGUAAAAUUCUACAUGAAAAAUGCGUACCCUUCUACGAAACUAGUCAUGAAAGUCUCGAUGCACCGUUUUCUUUAUUUCAGCCGUAGCUCUCUGUUGCGCCCUAAUCCCUUUAUACUGCAACCUCGUAUGGUCUCUAAACUAUCUAGAUAUGCAGUUAUCAACAUUAUUACAUGUCCAAUCAAUGCAACAACGGUACACACUACAAACCAAAAUGUACUCACUGUAGAAAAGGUUCAAUUCCCUCCAAAUUGAACAACACAUGUCGAUGAGCUUGAAGUAGCUCUGUCUCGGUGAGUGUCUUUAACUUUGCAGCACUGCUUGGUUUCCAACGGAAAGAAAAAGUACAGGUUCACUACCUUCUAGCUUUUCAUCAAGUUCUUGUACUCGUUAAGCACGAUUGAACCGUGUUUCAGUACUAUCAUUUAGAGACAAUGAUGAGUAAGUGAACAUUUCAUCUUCAAUCCAACCUUCAACAAUACAUCCUUCUAGAUGUGCUCUGUUGCUAACGAAUCCCUUCAACUUGUCUAGGAACCUUUCUAUAGGGUACAUCCAAUGGUAUUGAACUGGUCCUCCAAUUCGAACUUCUUCAACUAAAUGCAAUACCAGAUGCACCAUCACAGUGAAGAAGCCGGGUGGAAAGUACAUCUCCAUGUGACAACUAGCCAUGGCUAAGCGCUCCUGAACUGUAUCAAACUCUGCAAUGUUGACAACUUCAGAGGUUAAUGCUUUUAUACACGAGUUGAAAUAAAAAAACACUGCAACUACUUGCCUUGGCAUUACUAGUGUUCGGGAAGGCGUGCCUCCGCGGCCGCUUAGGCGAUAAAAUCGGCGGGGCGGAGAGGAAACGCGGCGAUUAGUGCGAGGCGGACUGAUUAAGGCGGAUCGUCGCCGAAUCGUCGCCGAAUCGUCGCCUCGAGCGCCUCCGCGGCGCCGAAUCGGAAAAGGCGGUGUCGCCGCGUUUAAAAAAAGAAGGAAACAGGAGUCAACGCCUCACACAUCGUCGUCCUCCGCCUCGAUCGACGCCGUCUCCUCCUUCAUCUCCGACGCAUCUCCUCCUUUCAUCUCCGACGCCGUCUCCUUUGACGGAGGGCAAGACAGUGGGAGUUAUUGUGAGGGACGGGAUCGGAAGUGAUGACGUGGAAGUGGUCGGAGGUGUGGGUGGAGGAAAAGAAGGAGGAGAGGAUGUGAAGGCGGAGACGACGAGGCGGAGGUGGAGAGAGAGAGGGAGGGAAAGGGAUAGAGAAAAAGGUCGGGGGAGGAAAUAAAAAUCGUUCAGUUUGGAGGAGAGGGUUGCAUGUGUAAUUUUGUGAGCCACAUGAAUUAAAUAAAGAAUUCCAGAAGCUUCUCUUUUAUCUUCUUCUUAAUAAAUAGAAAUAAAAAGGAGUAAUUUAAACAAUAAAAAAUAGGCAAAAAUUAUUUUUGACAAUAUAUUGGAUAAAACAAAUAAUAUUAAUUAUGAUAAAAAAAUUAAUAGAGGAGAAAUAAAAAAAAUAAAUUUUUCUAUUAAAUCUAUUAUAUUUUUUCAAAACGCCUAAUCACGAUUAGGCAACGCCUAAUCGACCAAGGCGUAAAGCAGGACCUCACCGCCUUACUACCGCCUUACGCCUUCCACAACCUUGGGCAUUACAUUUCUUAUUGCUACAAACAACACCUCAUAUAAAGAACGUGUGAAUCAUGACUUUUCAAGCCAAAUAUCUUCAGUUUCUCUAAGUCAACACUGGGAUAUAUUACUUGAAUAUCCAUCUAAAACGGACAGAGACUUGAGAUUUUGCAACAUUAGAUCAAUCUCCUAUUUGGCUAGACUAAAUAAUCCUGCUGGACAUUUUCCAUUCUCCAAAGGGCACAGGUCUAUCUUUAUAUUCAUUGACACCAACUCUUGUCUUGCCUUCAAAUUUUCUUUGCUUUUAUCUUUGUCAUUAAUAAGUGUGAAUGGAAUGUUGUAACACACAUUUUUCUCGAUAUGCAUCACAUCUAGGUUAUGGUGCAAUAGAUUGUGCUGCCAAUAUGAUAGAUCAAAAAAUGUACUACGCUUCUUCCACUGUUGUGUUUCCUUAGUGGCUGAUGUAGGUCUUUUCUUCCCAAUUCUAAGAUCAAUCAUCUUGCCAAAUGUGAUGUUUAUGUCCUUGACUUGUUCAAGGAUUUGAGUUCCAGAUAGAAGAGGAGGAGGUGGCCUAAAUUCAUUGUGGCCAUUGAAGCGGGCUUGCUGAUUUCUAAACUGAUGACCCAUUGGUAAAAAUUGACAACUGUUCAUGAUGGAAGACUUACCACUUUUUGGAAGACGGAAUGGGUGGUAUCAAAAUUACAAGAUGGACAGGCUGUAGCGGUAUGAGUGUUCCAUUCAGAUAGAGUGUCUAGUCCAGGAAAGUCACUAAUAGUCCAAAUCAGAGCUGCUCCCAAUGUGAACAUUCCUUCUUUGCAGCAUCAUAUGCAGUGACCCCAUCCCACAAAAUCUUCCAUUCUUCAAUUAAAGGACCAAGGUAGACAUCUAUGUCAUUCCUUGGCUGUGUUUUUCCAGGAAUAAUACAAUUUAACAUCAAACUGGUUUGCUUCAUGCACAACUAAGGGGCGGUGUUAUAUGGGAUCAGAACUACCGGCCAAAUACUAGUGGCAGUCCCCAUGGUUCGGUAAGGAUUGAAACCAUCACUAGAAAGUCCUAAACGUACAUUAUGAGGGUCACUACAAAACAUAGGAUAUUUGAGAUCAAAGUCCUUCCAAACUUUUGAAUCCCUUGGGUGUCACACUUUUCCAUAAUUUGUUUCUUCUGUUGAGUGCCAAACCAUAUUACCAGCCAACUUAGAAGACAAAUAAAUCCUCUUUAGCCGAGGGAUCAGAGGAAAGUACCGAAAUACUUUAACCAGAAUAUGAUUCUUCUUAUUAGUUACAAUACUCCCAAUCUUUGUCUUCUUGUAUCUAGAAGAAUGACAAACUUGACACUCUUUGUCGUCUAUAGCAUCUUCCCAGAACAACAUGCAAUCCAUUUUAAAGGCAUCUAUCUUCUUAUAGUCAGACCUAGUGCAUCAUGCACUAAAUCAUGCAUUGCCUGAACAUGACGAGGUCGCACCAGAAUAUUGUCCACAUGAGUUGUAGUAGUAUGGGAACUAAUAUUAUUUGAACUACUCGAGGUAGAAGAUGUUUGUGCCUCCACCACCUCUCCAUGUAUGUACCAUACUUGGUAGUGUGAUGGAAACAGUUUUCAUAACAAGUGGUCAAAAACCGUUUCCCUAUCAGAGAAGUUGUUGAACUUGUACUUAGAACAAGGACACAAAAUCACAGUUCCGCCUCAAUUGUGUGCAAAAGUAAAAUAAGUAUAUUUGUACACCAUCAAGGUAUUGGGGGUUUGUGCGAGGCAAGCUAAUCUAAGAUUUAUCCAUAUCUACCUAAGUGACAAAUAAUAUAUUGAUUAUAUUAGUAUAUAUAUAUCAUUUUAAACUAUUCACAUAAAAAUAAAGGAAAUUUACAAUAACGCCUAAACACAAAACACGAUAGCUAGUUCAUAUACAUGUUCACAUUAUAUCUAUAUCCUACUUAUUCAACUUUAUAAUUACUAGCUAGAGAGAUCAAAGUUCUUAUCUUCUUUCACUAACUCACAAACUUCCAACUUUAACCUCUUCCUUAGUCUUGACCAAUAUAAUGAUGUAGACCUUCCAAAACAUCAUUAAAUUAGAUCAAGAAUCAACUCAAAAUACUCAAUAUAUAAAGGUACAUUCCUAAACCAAUAACCCUAAUUUGUCAACAAUCAAACCUAAGCUAAGAUUUUGAACAUCUUCUUAACCAUAUAACUAGAUAUAACAUGUUGACAACAAAUUAAAUCCAUAUCAAUCUAAAUUACAGAAUUUAACAUCAUAGAACAAAAAAGCCCAAAUUAAGAAUUAUGGUUCAUCCCACAAUUCCUAAAUUCUAAAAUCUAUGUAAUUGUAUACCCACAACUUCGUAUUCAUGGUUCAAACAACAAAACUACUUAUCAUUAUCCCACACAUAUUUAAUUUCAACAAUUUUAACUCAAUCAAUGAAAUUCCUAAAUUUGAAAAAAUUAGACUUUUGCUCAUAACUUACCUUGAAUCGGAGAUUGGCUCGCGGAUCAUAACUUGUCAUAUAUAAGGUUUGGUUGGUAGUUGUGGAAAAAAGUAGUUGUUUAUGGUAAAAAAAAACCGGUGCAUGUCACAUGACUCAAUAUUGACAUUGUUUGGUAGAUCCUGAUUUAGCAUUUUGGUAGGUUGACUGCUGGGAAUUAAAAUGGUGAGUUUGGUUUGUAACGGAUAGGCAAGUCAAUGGAGAGGGCGCCAACUUCACCAACUUACUACGAUUUCCCUUCAAUACAAGCUACUGCUGCCGAUCACGCUCAUUUGUGGGAAGGAGGGGUUCGGGUUAGGUCAUCUAAUAAUACACCCAUCACAAUUUGUAUUUUAGUUCACGCUUAUUAUAUACUACGCAUUCUGAUUCUUCUCCCUUCAACACACACAUUAAUUACAUGAAACUAUUUCUCUCGCAUCUCAAAGACAGACGGAGAGACACAUUCAUCAAUAUGGCUGACCCGAAUUCGCUUUGUUUUAAUCUCCUAGCCGCCGCCGUUGUUCUCAGCCUAGCCUUCUCAUCUUGCGGCGCCACAACUUACACGGUCGGAGACAAUUCAGGUUGGGACAUAAGCAGUGAUCUCGACAGUUGGGCUCAGGAUAAAACCUUCUACGUCGGAGAUGCUCUCUGUAAGCCUUACUACAUAUAUACACCUCAUCUCAGCAUCUAAUUUAUCCAUUGUUCUCUUCUUCUCUUUUGACCGGCAGAGUCUAGUUAAAUCCGGCCGGAUUUCCACUAUGAAUGAGUAAAAUAUAUUAUACUGUUGAAGUAGAUUAUAUAUGAUUUUUGUAUAUAUUGCAAAACUAUUUAUAUAUUACUUCAAAACCAAUUUUAUAUAUAAUGUUGUGAUUCCUCAUUAAUCAUUGUUUUGUAUAUCUCUUCAAUCUUCUUUCCAAAUUAAUGAAUAUCAAUUCACUAAAAUUAUGAUCUUCAUACAAGGUAGUAACUCUAUAACAGUAGCUUAAUGGUUAUGAUAUGGUUUUUUAUCGUUUGACUCCGAUUUGGUAAGAGCUUUACCCGAAAAAUCUGAAAAUCCAAAUUUAUGUAUUAUAUGUUGACCCGAGCUCGAUCCGAUCCUAUUAACUUUAAACUUUCAGGUUAACCAAAACACGAUUGACCAUACUGGGCUAAGUCCAGUUGGAACCCAAUCAAAUUCCCAAUCUCUAAACCUAUCCCAUCAUCCAUAACUUUUAUCUAAAAAAUUAAACUAAUAGAAAAGGCUAAAACAAAGUAAUGAAAUUCAAAAUGAACUAAAUUGAUGAAAAAUCAUAUGAUGGGAUAGGUUUAGUUAAACUAUAUUCAAAGUACACCUGCAUAAUGAAUAGUGUAGAGCAUUUGUGCUUUCUAUAAUAAUAAUAAUUUGGUAUUUUCCAAUUUGAAAUUAGUGUUUCAGUACAAAUCCUCAGAGACAGUAGAAGAAGUGAACAAAGCAUCUUUCGACGGCUGCAAUACGACGGACGUAAUGAAAUCGUUCAACGACGGGAAUACGACGGUGGAAUUGGACAGUGGUGGACCCUGGUAUUUCAUCUGUGGGAACAAGUUGUACUGCUUUGGAGGGAUGAAGCUCCAGGUGGACGUCAAAGGUAAUCAGACUGUUGCAGAUUCACCAAUUGGUUCCCCUGAGGGGCAGCCUGCAAACCCUUCUUCCAAGACCGACUUCCCCUCUUCUUCAGCUUUUGUUCAUCGCAGCACUGAGACUCUUGUGAUCAUUGUUGUGAGUUUCAUGAGCAUUUUAUGGGUUGUUCAUCUAUGACUCUUGAGUGUGUUUAUAUUCGUUUUACCGGAGUGAGUCAUUGUUUGUUUCUUUCAUUUUCUACACAAAUAUUGUUUUCUAUUAUGUGCAGGGUGGAAACCCAAGUUGAAAUAUCAUAAAUUUCUAGUAUUUAUUAAAUGAUUGAAUUGUUUCGGGAUGGAUAAAAACUCGAAUAAAAGACAAAAAACAAAGUCAACAAAAUAAAUGACUCAAAUUUUAAAACAUUGUUUCCAACUAAAUAACUCUAAACACGUGGGCAAACCAAAAUGAGAUAUCAAGUCCAUAAAUCAUAAAUAAGUCUCAAGUCUAAUAAUUCUAAAGGAAAACAUCAUAAAUGUUGAAAGUCCUUUGCCAUUUUCUCACUCCGAGUCUUGGGACAUGAUUGGCAGCAACUGCAACUCUUGCAAGACGUCUCCGUUCCGAUAUCUCUCGUAUGACCUGGUGGGUGACUCGGGGUGAGUCUUUCGUGAUCAAUUUAUUAUCUUGUUAAUACAUUAUGAAAUCGUGGUAUCGUGUUAUUCGAAUAAUAUUAUGUAUUAUCGUGAAACUCAAACUAUGUGACUUAUUUUCUUAUACUAGCCUUGAACUUCAUUCAAGGUUUCUUAAUUCUUGUAGGGCGUCCCCUCUUCUCACUAACUAGUCCUACCGCCCAAUCGUGAAAAAUCGUGGAUGUUUGGGAGCAUGUAUCCUCAAACAACAUACCGUGUAACGCGUGAUGCCUGUGAGAACGUAUCCGUCAGACAACAUAUCAUGUGAGCAAUAUUGGCCCAAUUCGUUUGGGAGCGGGGGGGGGGGGGGCGCGGCGGGGGGGGGGUUUUUUCUUUUUUCUACAUUCUAAAGAGUGUGGUGUAGAUCCUAGUAAUGGUCUAGGUGAGAUUCGUGAAUGUAGUACUCAUAAAGUAAAAAAAACUGUAACGUAAUUAAUGACUUAAAUUAAAAAAAACAGCAACGGUAGAAUUUACCCCUUAAAUCAUCCACCUGAUAAUAAAGGGUUGAUGAUCUGAAGACGAGGAUUUAGAUAUUAGACUAAAUUCCAACACAUGUUAAAAUAGUCUGGGCAACGACUUACGAUAUUCGAGGAAUUGUAUUCACAAUUAAUGUGAUAUUAUGGAAAUGAUUAAUUCAAAGAAUUCGAGUUAAUGAGAUUAACUAAAAACUUGAAAAAGUAUACUAUUAGUUGUAUCUUAUAGAUGCUAAUUUUUAAGAUAAAGAAAAAAGAGGUCGAAGAAAAGAUCUAAUACAGGGCACUUAAUCAAAUUAUCCUAUAAAAAAUCAUAACUAUAUUUUACUUUGAAUUAGUAAUCCUGAUGAAAUACUCAUACUUAAUCAAUUUAUGAAUAUAGGGAUGACGUUACUAACUUCCGCUUAAUUAUUAGCAUUCUAUAUCAUAUUAGAGCUAAUUAUAGGACUUACAGGGCCUUCUAGAAUCGUUUGGGUACAAACUGUCACAGUCAGAAAGUUUGAGACCGCGACAGCUACAAGGGAACAACUCAUGGCUAAACUGUCAACUUCUAAUAGUUUGUUUACAACAGGCAAUUUACUAGGAGUUCAGGUACUGAAUCAAUUUUCUAGAAGUUUAGUGACUGAAAUGUAAUCAGUGAAAGUCCAGGCGUCGCCACAGACAAAUGCCAGUUAUCUUCUCCUGGAGAAUUCCGGCGAGGCUCCGGUGAGACUCAGGGAACUCAAUUUAAAUGCUAUGAAUCGAUUUCUAACCUUAUUCCGAAGCUAAGAGAGAGUUUGUAUGGACUUGGGUUGCUAUGGAAGCUUCGAAUCGAGAAAGGACCAGCGGUCGACGAAAUCCAAUUCCUGGAAAUAAAAGAGACUGAUGGUUCAGUUGUUUGGCUUCCAUGUAGACUAGAACGAAACUAACGAGGGAUGAGACGGUGGAACCCUUACCUAAUCGAGAUAGGAAUCGAUUAUCUUCAGUUGAGAGAGUCCUGGUUUGCCGGAAACAGAGACGGGAAAGAAGACUGAUGUCUUCGCCCGUCUUGAAGAUCAGAGCUCGAUCUUUGGCUGCAGAAUCAAUUGAUAGGGCUUAGGGUUGAGUAAAUUGAGUUUAAUAGAGAUGGGCGUUAGAUGGAGCAUGAUUGGAGGGCUAGGAUCGUUGCCAAAAAC